AUUGAACGCUGGCGGCAUGCCUUACACAUGCAAGUCGAACGGCAGGACGGGAGCAAUCCUGGUGGCGAGUGGCGAACGGGUGAGUAAUACAUCGGAACGUGCCCAAUCGUGGGGGAUAACGCAGCGAAAGCUGUGCUAAUACCGCAUACGAUCUACGGAUGAAAGCAGGGGAUCGCAAGACCUUGCGCGAAUGGAGCGGCCGAUGGCAGAUUAGGUAGUUGGUGAGGUAAAGGCUCACCAAGCCGUCGAUCUGUAGCUGGUCUGAGAGGACGACCAGCCACACUGGGACUGAGACACGGCCCAGACUCCUACGGGAGGCAGCAGUGGGGAAUUUUGGACAAUGGGCGAAAGCCUGAUCCAGCCAUGCCGCGUGCAGGAUGAAGGCCUUCGGGUUGUAAACUGCUUUUGUACGGAACGAAACGGCCUUUUCUAAUAAAGAGGGCUAAUGACGGUACCGUAAGAAUAAGCACCGGCUAACUACGUGCCAGCGGCCGCGGUAAUACGUAGGGUGCAAGCGUUAAUCGGAAUUACUGGGCGUAAAGCGUGCGCAGGCGGUUAUGUAAGACAGUUGUGAAAUCCCCGGGCUCAACCUGGGAACUGCAUCUGUGACUGCAUAGCUAGAGUACGGUAGAGGGGGAUGGAAUUCCGCGUGUAGCAGUGAAAUGCGUAGAUAUGCGGAGGAACACCGAUGGCGAAGGCAAUCCCCUGGACCUGUACUGACGCUCAUGCACGAAAGCGUGGGGAGCAAACAGG
RNAcentral lists this ribosomal RNA (753 nucleotides) under uncultured Comamonadaceae bacterium. Its description in RNAcentral is "bacterial SSU rRNA". It matches the Rfam family "Bacterial small subunit ribosomal RNA", at positions 28 to 776 of the family's 1533-position model. The record is from RNAcentral. Lineage: Bacteria; Pseudomonadati; Pseudomonadota; Betaproteobacteria; Burkholderiales; Comamonadaceae.